CUACGGGAGGCAGCAGUGGGGAAUUUUCCGCAAUGGGCGAAAGCCUGACGGAGCAAUACCGCGUGAGGGAAGACUGCCUAUGGGUUGUAAACCUCUUUUUUCAGGGAGGAAUAAAAUGACGUGUACCUGAAGAAUAAGCAUCGGCUAACUCCGUGCCAGCAGCCGCGGUAAGACGGAGGAUGCAAGUGUUAUCCGGAAUCACUGGGCGUAAAGCGUCUGUAGGUGGUUUAAUAAGUCAACUGUUAAAUCUUGAGGCUCAACUUCAAAACCGCAGUCGAAACUAUUAGACUAGAGUAUAGUAGAGGUAAAGGGAAUUUCCAGUGGAGCGGUGAAAUGCGUAGAGAUUGGAAAGAACACCGAUGGCGAAAGCACUUUACUGGGCUAUUACUAACACUCAGAGACGAAAGCUAGGGUAGCAAAUGGGAUUAGAUACCCCAGUAGUCCUAGCCGUAAACAAUGGAUACUAGAUGUUGAACAGAUCGACCUGUGCAGUAUCAAAGCUAACGCGUUAAGUAUCCCGCCUGGGAAGUAUGCUCGCAAGAGUGAAACUCAAAG
Molecule: ribosomal RNA, 555 nt
Filed under: uncultured bacterium
Lineage: Bacteria
Description: bacterial SSU rRNA
Rfam family: Bacterial small subunit ribosomal RNA
Source: RNAcentral